AGAGUUUGAUCAUGGCUCAGGACGAACGCUGGCGGCGUGCCUAAAACAUGCAAGUCGAACGGUUCUAGCAAUAGGACAGUGGCGAACGGCGGAGUAAUACGUGAACAACGUGCCCCAAAGACCGGGAUAGUUAUUGGAAACGAUGGGUAAUACCGGAUGUGGUGGUUUGGACUCAUGUUCAGAUCAUUAAAUGGUUUUUCGCUUUGGGAGCGGUUCACGGCCUAUCAGGUAGAUGGUGGGGUAAUGGCCUACCAUGCCGACGACGGGUAGCGGGUCUGAGAGGAUGAUCCGCUCGAGUGGGACUGAGACACGGCCCACACACCUACGGGUGGCAGCAGUUGGGAAUCUUGCACAAUGGGGGAAACCCUGAUGCAGCGACGCCGCGUGGAGGAUGAAGGGUCUAGGCCUGUAAACUCCUUUUUUCAGGAAAGACUUAGGACGGUACCUGAAGAAUAAGCACCGGCUAACUACGUGCCAGCAGCCGCGGUGAGACGUAGGGUGCAAGCGUUGUCCGGAUUUACUGGGCGUAAAGAGCGCGUAGGCGGUCUGUUAAGUGUAGAGUGAAAGCUCCGGGCUCAACCCGGAAAUUGCUCUGCAUACUGGCAGACUUGAGGGAUGCAGAGGUUUGUGGAAUUCCUGGUGUAACGGUGAAAUGUGUUGAUAUCAGGAGGAACACCCAUGGCGAAGGCAGCAAACUGGGCAUCAUCUGACGCUGAGGCGCGAAAGCGUGGGUAGCAAACAGGAUUAGAUACCCUAGUAGUCC
Molecule: ribosomal RNA, 763 nt
Filed under: uncultured bacterium
Lineage: Bacteria
Description: bacterial SSU rRNA
Rfam family: Bacterial small subunit ribosomal RNA
Source: RNAcentral